UUUUAUUUCAUUAACUUCCCUUUAUUAGCUUUAACUGUCUUUAGUCUAUGGAGUAUUGGAAGUGUUCAAGAGGCAUUGAAUUGGAAGUUUUUUUUUGUUAUUAGCACACUAACAAUUUAUUCCACUGUUUGGCCCCUUGAAUGUUGUUGCACUAACAAAGUUAUCAUGCAAAAUGGAAGUUAGUGAAGAAUCGAAAUUGUACCACUUGUGACAAGAUUUUCCAUGAAGUGAGGUACAUAACUUCAGUGUUGGAUGCUUACUUUGCUGAGUGGUUAAUGUGAUGGCUUCAGUUUGAGGUACAUAACUUUGCUGGUUUGGCGCCCUUAGUACUUGAUUAAAUGGAUAAUAUGCUGACAACUAUUAGCACUCACUCGGCUAAUUGGAUGAUUGGUCAACUCAUUGCAAGUGAUUCAGCGUCAAUUGACGUUUGUCCUCUCUUUUGAUAUUGUUUAACGUAGUUAUAUGAUAUAACUGGAUUAUGGAUGUGGGAUUAGUUUCCAUUCAAUGUGUUCUAAUCAUAUUUCAUUUGUGUUAAAACAGUGGUCAAGUAAGAGGUGGUGGUUUUGGGAGGUCACGGGGUGCCAGAGGACGUGGUCGUGGAUUUCGAGGAGGCAACAGAGGAUGGGGAAGAGGAGGUCGUGGAGAAAAGGUAUCUGCAGAAGAUCUAGAUGCUGAUUUGAUGAAAUAUCAUACAGAAGCAAUGCAGACGAACUGAUGGGUCUGGUAGUAAUGUUUGCCUCUACAUCCAGUGCUUAGUGGAGCCACACCACACAACACCACAGACUCUCUGUGCAAGCCUUUCCUUUUCAAGUUGCAAGAAAGAAAGUACUUGUAGGAAAAUUUCAGCCGUUCCUGUAGGGGUAUUAUGCUUAUUUAAUUUUUCCCUCGCUUUGGAUUUGUGACUUAGAUGGAGUGAUGUAAUCUACUCACUCUUUAAUUUAUGUAAGAGAUGUAUGAUUAUAGUGGAAAUGCUAAUCCUUAGCCCCUACCACGACAAGGCUUUGCCGAUGGUGGCAGACGCCAGCUGAAGGUGGUGGUCUGUGUCCUGAAGUCAAUAAUGCGGGUGUCAAUAGUGAGGCAGGUUUUGUCACUCUAUUCUUUUCCCCCUGGUUUCACAAUUGCAGUCUUUGUGCAAUUAGCUUUACUCUAAGCUUCUAUCUAGUUUUAUCCAAUGUUUGUAAUAAGCUUUAAAAAGUUGACUUAGGAAACAGGUAAUGGGAUCAUUAUUGGGUGACUAAGUUGAAUCAUCUGAAUGAAUUAUAUCUUAUUUCAAAUAUAUGGGAGGAGUAAGCUGAAUGCUGGUGUUGCGGGGAUCACAGAUUGCUCAUUGUGCUGAUUCUCGCAGAGAAAGAGGCUUCAUCCUCAUUCUGUGAACAUGACGUUUGACUGAAGUGACACACUGCAUUUUUACAGCUUUACAAAGCUUGUGCCUUGUACUGUAGAAUUGCUUGGGUUUGCUGUGUUUGUUUGUUGAUUAUGUGCUAUUGAGUCUUAAAUGCCGCUUCCCGAAGUGGCUUGAAUUUUCUUCAAGUCUAG
RNAcentral lists this long non-coding RNA (1536 nucleotides) under Solanum tuberosum (potato). RNAcentral's name for it is "long non-coding RNA (STUB_LNC011067)". Lineage: Eukaryota; Viridiplantae; Streptophyta; Magnoliopsida; Solanales; Solanaceae. The record is from RNAcentral.